UACGUAGGGUGCAAGCGUUGUCCGGAAUUAUUGGGCGUAAAGAGCUCGUAGGUGGCGUGUCGCGUCUGCCGUGAAAGCCCAUGGCUUAACUGUGGGUCUGCGGUGGAUACGGGCAGGCUGGAGGCUGGUAGGGGCAAGCGGAAUUCCUGGUGUAGCGGUGAAAUGCGCAGAUAUCAGGAGGAACACCCGUGGCGAAAGCGGCUCUCUGGGACGGUACUGACGCUGAGACGCGAAAGCGUGGGGAGCGAACAGG
RNAcentral lists this ribosomal RNA (253 nucleotides) under uncultured bacterium. RNAcentral's name for it is "partial 16S ribosomal RNA". It matches the Rfam family "Bacterial small subunit ribosomal RNA", at positions 524 to 776 of the family's 1533-position model. The record is from RNAcentral.